UGCGGAAGAGAGUUGUUACUGUGACGAGCGAUAACCAUUGGCCUUGGAUAAAACUGAUUUGAAGUUGGACAGAACAGCUCUAACAACUUCUGAGACAUAACUUACCCGUGUGAUUAUAACCAGAGGGACCUGUUGGCGCUGAUUUUAGAGGAAGAACCUCUUUGGUCAGGUUUGUUGGACCUACCUGGAGUUUGAGCCUGGAUACUGCUGGAUGUUUGAUGGCGAGCUACAGCCCCGCAGAUCGGAAACACAAACUCAAUUGCAUGCAGAGGAUUUGAGGCCCUGGACUUUGAGGAUUUCGUCUACAUACACAUGACCAACUCACUCUACUACACGCGCUGUCUGCUGGAGUAUGCUGCUUCUUGUCUCUCGGCACAUUGUGUACCCAUUAACAAGGCCCUGUGUGCAGCCCAACCCCCUCCUCCCCACCCCCCACCUCCCCACCCCAAUCCUCAUCUUCCUUGCCUCUCAGUCGUCACAUCCACUGAGCGCUGACACAUCCCGGGUGAAGCUAAGUGCUCUGCUGCAGCGUGCUUGCAUGAGGGAGCAGCGGCCCAGCCCGGAUAAGGAACGGGCAGGGGGAGUGGGACGAUGGAGGCGGUGGCACUCUCUUAAGUAU
Lates calcarifer (barramundi perch) is the source of this 619-nucleotide long non-coding RNA. RefSeq lists it as uncharacterized. The record is from RefSeq and is a predicted model, not a curated record. The transcript has 3 exons. Lineage: Eukaryota; Metazoa; Chordata; Actinopteri; Centropomidae.